Molecule: long non-coding RNA, 599 nt
Organism: Eriocheir sinensis (Chinese mitten crab)
Lineage: Eukaryota; Metazoa; Arthropoda; Malacostraca; Decapoda; Varunidae
Exons: 4
Source: RefSeq, a predicted model, not a curated record
GUCAACACAGGGAGGGGUGAAGGAGUAAGGAGCCACAACAGGUCAACACAGGGAGGGGUGAAGGAGUAAGGAGCCACAACAGGUCAACACAUGGAGGGGUGAAGGAGUAAGGAGCCACAACAGGUCAACACAGGGAGGGGUGAAGGAGUAAGGAGCCACAACAGGUCAACACAGGGAGGGGUGAAGGAGUAAGGAGCCACAACAGGUCAACACAUGGAGGGGUGAAGGAGUAAGGAGCCACAACAGGUCAACACAUGGAGGGGUGAAGGAGUAAGGAGCCACAACAGGUCAACACAGGGAGGGGUGAAGGAGUAAGGAGCCACAACAGGUCAACACAGGGAGGGGUGAAGGAGUAAGGAGCCACAACAGGUCAACACAUGGAGGGGUGAAGGAGUAAGGAGCCACAACAGGUCAACACAGGGAGGGGUGAAGGAGUAAGGAGCCACAACAGGUCAACACAGGGAGGGGUGAAGGAGUAAGGAGCCACAACAGGUCAACACAGGGAGGGGUGAAGGAGUAAGGAGCCACAACAGGUCAACACAGGGAGGGGUGAAGGAGUAAGGAGCCACAACAGGUCAACACAGGGAGGGGUGAAGGAG